RNAcentral lists this long non-coding RNA (1329 nucleotides) under Felis catus (domestic cat). Its description in RNAcentral is "lncRNA (ENSFCAG00000053802.1)". Lineage: Eukaryota; Metazoa; Chordata; Mammalia; Carnivora; Felidae. The record is from RNAcentral.
AUGUCCUUUCUUCCUUCCUCUCUCCUCCUGAUCACUAACCAAGGUCUUUUUGGAAUGAUUUACUCCAGCCCUCUCCAGCAAUUUUCAACUGCUCCCUUCACCUUCUUCCUAAAGUAUACACACACGCCUGCACCCAUGUACCCCAUGCACACAUGCAGGCAUGCACACAUCUACAUACACACACACAUGCAUACACACAUGCAUGCAUACACCUACACGCAUGUGCAUACCCGCAUGGAUGCACACACCUACAUACACACAUACACAUGCAUAUACACAUGCAUGCAUGCACACACCUACACAUGCAUAUACACAUGCACGCACACACACAUACACGCAUAUAUACAUGCAUGCACGCUCACACCUACAUACACACAUACACACAUACACAUGCAUAUACACAUGCAUAUACACAUGCACGCACACACACACACAUGCAUACACACAUACACGUGCAUAUACACAUGCACACACACAUAUACACACGCAUAUAUACAUGCAUGCACGCUCACACCUACAUACACACAUACACAUGCAUAUACACAUGCAUAUACACAUGCACGCAUGCACAAACCUACACACAUACACAUGCAUAUACCCAUCCAUGCACACACCUACAUCCACACAUACACGUGCAUAUACACAUGCAUGCAUGCACACACCCACCUACACAUGCAUAUACACAUGCACACACACAUACACGUGCAUAUACACAUGCACACACACAUACACACAUACACAUGCAUAUACCCAUGCAUGCACACACCUACACAUGCAUAUACACAUGCACGCAUGCACAAACCUACACACAUACACGUGCAUAUACACAUGCAUGCAUGCACACACCUACAUACACACAUACACACAUACACACAUACACGUGCAUAUACACAUGCACGCAUGCACAAACCUACACACAUACACACAUACACAUGCAUAUACACAUGCACACACACAUACACGUGCAUAUACACAUGCACACACACAUACACGUGCAUAUACACAUGCAUGCAUGCACACACCUACAUACACACAUACACGUGCAUAUACACAUGCAUGCAUGCACACACCUACACAUGCAUAUACACAUGCACACACACACACACACACGCAUAUAUACAUGCAUGCACGCUCACACCUACAUACACACAUACACAUGCAUAUACACAUGCAUGCACAUGCCUACGUACACACAUGCGUAUGCGUGCGCACACACCCACAUACUUACACGUGCACGUACGUGCAUGCAUACCCCUGCAUACACACAUACACACAUACAUGCACACAUGCACACACAUGCACACGCCAAGUCCCCAUUUCAGUCUGUGA